UGAAUACGAGACGCUAAGGCGUUGAAGUAGUGUAUGUCAUACUUCCAAGAAAAGCUUGCACUGUCAUAGAUAAAAAACGCCUGUACCAUAACCGACACAGGUGGGUAGGUAGAGUAUACUAAGGGGCGCGAGAUAACUCUCUCUAAGGAACUCGGCAAAAUAACUCCGUAACUUCGGGAGAAGGAGUGCCUUAUUUAUAAGGCUGCAAUAACAAGAUCCAAGCAACUGUUUAUCAAAAACACAGGUCUCCGCUAAGUCGUAAGACGAUGUAUGGGGGCUGACGCCUGCCCAGUGCCAGAAGGUUAAAGAAGUUGGUUAGCAAUAGCGAAGCUGAUAACUGAAGCCCUGGUGAACGGCGGCCGUAACGAUAACGGUCCUAAGGUAGCGAAAUUCCUUGUCGGGUAAGUUCCGACCCGCACGAAAGGCGUAAUGAUUUGGAUACUGUCUCGGAGAGGGGCUCGGUGAAAUAGACUUGUCUGUGAAGAUGCGGACUACCUGCACCAGGACAGAAAGACCCUAUGAAGCUUUACUGUAACUUGAAAUUGAAAUUGGACUUUAUUCGCGCAGUAUAGGUGGGAGGCGUUGAUUGUAAUCUUGCGGGAUUAUUGGAGCCAUCAGUGAGAUACCACCCUUGUAAUGUUAGAUUUCUAACUUUGAAUCAUUAUCUGGUCAAAGAACAGUUUCAGGCGGGCAGUUUGACUGGGGCGGUCGCCUCCUAAACGGUAACGGAGGCGUACAAAGGUUUCCUCUGAACGGUUAGAAAUCGUAUCUAGAGUGUAAAGGCAUAAGGAAGCUUGACUGUGAGACCUACAAGUCGAGCAGGGACGAAAGUCGGUCUUAGUGAUCUGACGGUACUGAGUGGAAAGGCCGUCACUCAACGGAUAAAAGUUACUCUAAGGAUAACAGGCUGAUCUCCCCCAAGAGUUCACAUCGACGGGGAGGUUUGGCACCUCGAUGUCGGCUCAUCGCAUCCUGGGGCGGUAGUACGUCCCAAGGGUUGGGCUGUUCGCCCAUGAAAGCGGUACGCGAGCUGGGUUCAGAACGUCGUGAGACAGUUCGGUCCAUAUCCGGUGUAGGCGUUAGAAUAUUGAGAGGAGCCUUCUUUAGUACGAGAGGACCGAGAAGGACAUACCUCUGGUGUACCAGUUAUCGUGCCAACGGUAAACGCUGGGUAGCUAUGUAUGGAGUGGAUAACCGCUGAAAGCAUCUAAGUGGGAAGCCUACCUCAAGAUAAGUA
Molecule: ribosomal RNA, 1237 nt
Filed under: metagenome
Description: bacterial LSU rRNA
Rfam family: Bacterial large subunit ribosomal RNA
Source: RNAcentral